AAGGCUGCCUGCUAUCAUUUUGAUUGAGUGCGAGGGGCCGAGAAGGAUGACCUCAGACUUACUCUCGUUUAGUUGGAGGAAGUUCUGGGCCAUCCAACACUUUAUACCCUCGAGGCAGCGGAUAAUGUUAAGCAGAUUUGAUAGUUUUUGGGGCUUCAGGGGGAGGUAGAGUUGUGUAUCGUCUGCGUAGCAAUGGAUGGCAGGAAAUGCUGUGCCUUUGAAUGAUUUGGCCAAAGGGGAGCAGGU
This is a long non-coding RNA of Amblyraja radiata (thorny skate), 246 nucleotides long. RefSeq lists it as uncharacterized. The record is from RefSeq and is a predicted model, not a curated record. The transcript is spliced from 3 exons. Lineage: Eukaryota; Metazoa; Chordata; Chondrichthyes; Rajiformes; Rajidae.